GAGGAACUCCAACAGAUCCGGCGACGAGAAUAAAACUAGGACGAGAUGGCAGCUUCGCUUAGGUUUGCCGCGAGAAAGAUCUGUGGUCCCGCCCUUGGGCGACCACCGCAGCCGUAUUUUAAGGAGGGACAGAGUCUGCUCUUGCCAAGGAUUAACCAUGGCGGGAGCUUCCCUCGCCGCUUCAGCUCCUCUAAAUCAAGUCCUUUAAACAAGCAGCAUGGACCUCAAUCAACUACAAACACUGCAGGGUCAUCGAAGCACACACCAUGGUUUGUAUUAAGUCACCCCAAUUAUGUACGUAAUAUAUUUUUUGAGACAAUCGGGACGGCUAUAGGAGGCCUUGCAAUACUCUAUGUUGUGGCCCGUACAGAGGGGGGCCCGAUUUUUAGAGAAAAAUUAUUGGGCCUGCCGCCUAAAGCAAGCAAGGAAUAUGAUUAGCCUUCAGAUGACGGCUAUUGGAGCUCACAACCAAGAGGGUCUGAAUUUUCACUGUGGACCUGGUGUUGUUAUGGUGCUCUUUGGCCUGAACAUGAGCAAUUGAGCAUCAGUCUGUUGUGACUAUGUUUAUGUGUCUGAAUAUUUACCGUGGAUCAUGAUUUUGUUAUGGUUCUCAUUGGCAAGCACUUGAUCAUCAGUCUGUUGUGACUAUGUGGCUGAACAAAUUUACUAUGAACGUAUUGUUAUUAUGAUGCUUAAGUACUUUGAGCUCCUGUCAAUAUCCUUUUGGAUUAUUCAAUUUUUCAGAAUUUC
Long non-coding RNA from Aegilops tauschii subsp. strangulata, 750 nucleotides. RefSeq lists it as uncharacterized. Lineage: Eukaryota; Viridiplantae; Streptophyta; Magnoliopsida; Poales; Poaceae. The record is from RefSeq and is a predicted model, not a curated record.